CAGCAGCCGCGGGAAUACGUAGGUGGCAAGCGUUGUCCUGAAUUAUUGGGCGUAAAGGGCUCGCAGGCGGUUUCUUAAGUCUGAUGUGAAAGCCCCCGGCUCAACCGAGGAGGGUCAUUGGAAACUGGGAAACUUGAGUGCAGAAGAGGAGAGUGGAAUUCCACGUGUAGCGGUGAAAUGCGUAGAGAUGUGGAGGAACACCAGUGGCGAAGGCGACUCUCUGGUCUGUAACUGACGCUGAGGAGCGAAAGCGUGGGGAGCGAACAGGAUUAGAGACCCGCGUAGUCCCUGUCUCUUAUAC
This 301-nucleotide ribosomal RNA is filed under the name uncultured bacterium. RNAcentral describes it as "partial 16S ribosomal RNA". It matches the Rfam family "Bacterial small subunit ribosomal RNA", at positions 509 to 807 of the family's 1533-position model. The record is from RNAcentral.